UUUUCAUAAAUGAUUGAAAUUAUUUAAAAUGUAUCACUUCGAGUUCCUUCGGUAUGUGUACCAGUUCACUUCAACAAUGUUAAAGAAUUAAUUUUUGGACUAAGUUUUAGUUAAUGAAUUCAUGAGACUUGUGAGUUAAUCUUUUGGGGGGCAGGCAAUAUAGUAUACUUUUUAAAGUAGUGUUUUAUAUUGACUCAGCUCAGAUCUCAGGCUUAUGAUUUACUUAAUUACUAGCCGGAUAAUUUUAAAUCUUUUUACUUAUCUAGGAAAAUAUUCCCAUGUCAUUAAAAAUUUUUUGAGUGAUCAGUUUUUAUGAUUGUAUGAGACUCUAUUGAUUGGUAGAUUUAUUUGAAUCCCCCCAAGUAAACUUUAAAUUGUUUAAAGAUGUUUAUUAUUCCAGUAAUACCAAUCCAUAGCUGCCUGUAAUCAUAGUAUUCUAAGAGGCUGAGGCAGGAAGAUCACAAGUUUGAGCCCACCUUGGGCAAUUUAGUAAAACCCUGUCUUAAAAAUAAAUAGGGCUGGGAUAUAGCUCACUGUCAAGGCUCUGGGCUCAAGCUCCAGUACUAGGGAAAAAAAAUUCCUAAUAUACUAAGUCAUGCCCUCCAUUGACCUUUCAUUUAUGUCAACAAGUCCCAUAUUUCUCCAUUUCAUUCAUAGCCAAGUUUCCUCUUUCAUUUAUCUGUUAAACUAUUCAAGUCUGGUUCCAUCUCUACUGCUCCCUAGAUAAGUCUGUUAAGGGCACUAUUUUCAAACCAGCCACUUUAUAUCUUCAUCUUUGUUUUCUGAAUAGCUUUUAGCCUAUUCAAGCAACCCUUCCUGAAUCACCUUUGAGUAUUAUUUUGGGUUUUUCUGACACCAUAAUACUUCCUCCCUCUCAGCUACUCCUCAAUCACGUUUGCUGCUUUUCUUCUUACACUUGCACUCUAAACUUUGGGAUUUCUCACCAAUUUGUUCUAGGCCUGCUUUUUUUUGUUUUCAUUUUGAGUUUUUUUGUUGGUACUGGGGAUUGAACUUGGGUCCUUGCACUUGCGCAGCAGGCAGCAAAAGCACUGAGCUAAAUCCCUGGCCCUAGGCCUGCUUUUUAAAUUUAGUACUCACCAUAGACAUGUUUAUCUGCUCCUAAGACAAAUUGUUAUCAAUAAAUUGAUCAUGUGCAAAUAUUUGUACCUAACUCAUACUGUCUUCUUACAGUGAACCUUUAUAUCUAACUUACUUUAUGUCUCCACCUGAUAUAUUAAAACCUGAC
RNAcentral lists this long non-coding RNA (1246 nucleotides) under Heterocephalus glaber (naked mole-rat). RNAcentral's name for it is "lncRNA (ENSHGLG00100048232.1)". Lineage: Eukaryota; Metazoa; Chordata; Mammalia; Rodentia; Bathyergidae. The record is from RNAcentral.